Momordica charantia (bitter melon) is the source of this 826-nucleotide long non-coding RNA. RefSeq lists it as uncharacterized. Lineage: Eukaryota; Viridiplantae; Streptophyta; Magnoliopsida; Cucurbitales; Cucurbitaceae. The record is from RefSeq and is a predicted model, not a curated record.
GAAACCCUAGCCCCCAUCUCUUUCCCCUCCCUUUCAUGUGUAGUCCAUUCUUAAGAAGCUUCUUCUUCCUCCGUAGCAGUCUCAUUCUUCUUCUUCUUCCUUCAUAGUAGCCACAUUCUUCUUCAUCAUCGGAGGCGACUCCACGACAGUAUUUCCCAACGGACGGUGAUGCGAACGAACCCCAUGGCGGUGUGACCCUCGGGUUGUAGUGUUUUCAGCGGUGGUGCGACAGCAACAAACCCCCAGAUCUAGCGUUCUUCGACGGCCCAGCAGUGCGUGCGGUUCCUUUUGGGAGUCGUUUCGUGUGCAAUACUGUAGAUUGGAAGGAAGUUAUUUCUGUUCUAGGAAUGAGCAUCUAAACCCUACAAAAAGGGAGAAAAAAUUCAAAGAUUCGAAGUUCAAAGCGAUGGAAGAGAGAGAAGCCAUAAGUGUGUGUGAUUCCUUUAACGGCGGCAAGGAGCAUUCGGUGGUAGGGUUGUUGCUUAUUCGGCGAAUCGAUGGUAGGGUUGUUGCACUCUUAUUAGAUGUUGAUCUUGGAAAAUUUAUUUUCAGUCUAUUUCAUUAUUUUCUUGGUGUUUCAAGGCAGUGCAAUAUAAUCUCGACUGCUACUGUUAGAUUUUGCUCAUUUUGUAAAUUAGAAUUUUGUAUUCAAGUUUCUCGAUUUAGGUUGUGUAGCUUACUUUUACGAUUUUUAGUAAUUGAAGAGGUAAAGAACAUAUUUGUUGUUUGUGGCAGACUGUCUGGGUAAAUAAUUUUUCUCCCCUUUCUACUGUGAAAUGUGCUACUCUGUAGUUCUGCCAAACUUGAGAAAAUUAUCUUCCAUGUC